GGAGGAUUAGCUCAGCUGGGAGAGCAUCUGCCUUACAAGCAGAGGGUCGGCGGUUCGAGCCCGUCAUCCUCCACC
RNAcentral lists this transfer RNA (75 nucleotides) under Lysinibacillus sphaericus. Its description in RNAcentral is "tRNA-Val". It matches the Rfam family "tRNA". Rfam says of the family: Transfer RNA (tRNA) molecules are approximately 80 nucleotides in length. The record is from RNAcentral. Lineage: Bacteria; Bacillati; Bacillota; Bacilli; Caryophanales; Bacillaceae. RNAcentral also lists the same sequence under 6 other names.